AUGUAUUCUUUGUAUCAAGCUUGGCUCUUGCGAGAGAACAGCUCUCUCGCCUCCUCGACGAUGGUCACUAUUCCGGACACGAUCAUCCACGUUGGCACGGAUGACAAUAUGCAAAAAUUCAGCGGGCACAAAAUCAUCCUCUCCUCGCAGAGUGGGUACCUGCGAUCCUUACUGGCGACUCAAGAGGCCGCACCUGAGAUUUACAUAACCAACGUUAAUGCCGAAAUAUUUGGCAUCCUCUUAACAUUCAUGUACACCGGUUACUUGAAUAUAAAUUCUGAGAAUAUAUACAGUGUGCUUUUGGCGACGCAUUUGUUGCACAUGCCGAGGGCUCUGGAUUUGUGCAGAUCUUUUCUCAUUGAACAGCAAACACUUCCUGCAUUGUUGCCGCCUACACCCACAACUCCAGCUUUACCAGCGAAUAUCAUCAAACCUAUUCCCAGCCGGAAACUUCUCCCAGCGAUAAUACAGCAGCAGAAAAGCCAACCUCACCAGGAGAAAGGCCGCUGGGAUAUGAGCUCUACUGUUUUCCACCCGGUGCAAUCAAAACCAAUACCAAUCGUAGACCCUCCUCCGUUGACCAUCAACACGCAACAACCUUCAACGUCAAAAGAGACGAAUAUGUCGACUUCCGUUUCGAGUUUAUCUCCUUGCCUCUCUAACAUAAGUGGAACCACGGAUGAACUGACUGUCACCAUCACAGAGAGAAACGAAGAAAUCUCAAAGAAAAAAAGCAAAUCCAGAAACUCCAAAAGUAACGAGGAAAAUAAUAAAGUCAUCAUAGACGUAGCCUCGUGUGACGGUCCUGUGAGGUUUCAAAGGAUUUUGAAUACCAACUACCGAGCUAAGAUUCAAGAUUCAGCAGUCGGAGAAGAUGAAAACCAAGGGGAACACUUGAAUACAACCAAGAAUGCAGAGCCAGAUAGUAAACAGAUGCCUAUUCAGAGUCAAAAUUAUCUCGAUGAAAAAAUUGCCGAUGGAAAAAGCGAAGACACUCUGAAAUGUAGUUACUGUGAUCACACUUUUAAGAGCAAGUAUUGCCUCCAGAAACACAGCAAACGCCACCUGACUUCUGUUGAAAUGGGAGGUGUAAUAAAAGUUAAGGCAGUGCCUCAUCCACCUUUCAUGAAGCUGAGUUCUAAAAAACUACCACCAGCCCAGUCCAUUGGAUCAAAGCGUGAAGUGCGACUACUUGAUAUGAACGUUCAAUAUUACCCGUGUAAAACUUGUGGAUCCAAAUUUCCUAGCUACUAUUUUGUUCAUAAACAUCGCAAAAUGUGUCACCCAGAGGAAGAAAAUUUGGUAAAUAAUCAGCUCAUAUCAGAUGAUACAUCCAAAUCAGAAAAGAGUUCUUUGCUAGUAGACAAUAGUAAUGCUAUAAAAACUGAUUGA
Molecule: long non-coding RNA, 1392 nt
Filed under: Bemisia tabaci
Lineage: Eukaryota; Metazoa; Arthropoda; Insecta; Hemiptera; Aleyrodidae
Description: lncRNA ENSSSA1UGG002355
Source: RNAcentral